UACAGAGGGGGCAAGCGUUGUUCGGAAUUACUGGGCGUAAAGGGCGCGUAGGCGGCCCGCUAAGUCGAACGUGAAAUCCCCGAGCUCAACUCGGGAACUGCGUCCGAUACUGGCGGGCUUGAAUCCGGGAGAGGGAUGCGGAAUUCCAGGUGUAGCGGUGAAAUGCGUAGAUAUCUGGAGGAACACCGGUGGCGAAGGCGGCAUCCUGGACCGGCAUUGACGCUGAGGCGCGAAAGCUAGGGAAGCAAACGGG
This 253-nucleotide ribosomal RNA is filed under the name uncultured bacterium. Its description in RNAcentral is "partial 16S ribosomal RNA". It matches the Rfam family "Bacterial small subunit ribosomal RNA", at positions 524 to 776 of the family's 1533-position model. The record is from RNAcentral.